GCUUAGAGUUUGAUCCUGGCUCAGAAUGAACGUUGGCGGCAUGGAUUAGGCAUGCAAGUCGAGCGAGAAGCUCUAGAUUGAAACUUCGGUCGAUUUCUAGGGUGGACAGCGGCGCAAGGGUGAGUAACGCGUAGUUACCUGCCCCAGGGUCCAGAAUAGCCUCGGGAAACUGAGGGUAAUGCUGGAUAAUAUCUCCGGAUCAAAGGUGAGAUUCCGCCCUGGGAGGGGACUGCGUACUACUAGCUUGUUGGUGGGGUAAUGGCCUACCAAGGCAACGAUGGUUAGCGGGCGUGAGAGCGUGGCCCGUCACACUGGGACUGAGACACUGCCCAGACACCUACGGGUGGCUGCAGUCGAGAAUCUUCCUCAAUGGGCGAAAGCCUGAAGGAGCAAUGCCGCGUGCGGGAUGAAGGCCCUCGGGUUGUAAACCGCGAAAGUAAGGAGGAAGGCUCUGUGAAGAGCAGAGUUUGACCAAUUUACAGUAAGGACGGGCUAAGUUCGUGCCAGCAGCCGCGGUAAGACGAACCGUCCAAACGUUAUUCGGAAUUAUUGGGCUUAAAGGGUGCGUAGGCGGCGCUGUAAGUCAGGUGUGAAAUCCCACGGCUCAACCGUGGAACUGCGCUUGAUACUGCAGUGCUUGAGGGAGACAGAGGUAAGCGGAACUGAUGGUGGAGCGGUGAAAUGCGUUGAUAUCAUCAGGAACACCAGUGGCGAAAGCGGCUUACUGGGUCUCUUCUGACGCUGAGGCACG
This 751-nucleotide ribosomal RNA is filed under the name uncultured bacterium. RNAcentral's name for it is "bacterial SSU rRNA". It matches the Rfam family "Bacterial small subunit ribosomal RNA", at positions 1 to 755 of the family's 1533-position model. The record is from RNAcentral.